This 265-nucleotide unclassified non-coding RNA is filed under the name uncultured fungus. Its description in RNAcentral is "sequence contains 5.8S rRNA gene". The stretch from base 1 to 53 matches the Rfam family "5.8S ribosomal RNA", at positions 102 to 154 of the family's 154-position model. The record is from RNAcentral. Lineage: Eukaryota; Fungi.
GAACGCACAUUGCGCCCCUCGGUAUUCCGGAGGGCAUGUCUGUUUGAGCGUCAUUUCAACACCCUCGCUUUAAGCGGUAUUGAGGCCUGGAAUCCAUAUCAAUGGAACCAAGCUUUUAAAGUUGAAGGCAAGCAGAACGAAUGUCUUGAACAAAACAUAGUAAAAUCUUCACGGUUUCUCCUGUUUGUCCUCGAUGUUACGUCUCGCCCAAACAAUUUUUUUAGUUUUGACCUCAGAUCAGACAAGGAUACCCGCUGAACUUAAG